AUUGAACGCUGGCGGCAGGCCUAACACAUGCAAGUCGAGCGGAUGAAGGGAGCUUGCUCCUGGAUUCAGCGGCGGACGGGUGAGUAAUGCCUAGGGAUCUGCCUGGUAGUGGGGGAUAACGUCCGGAAACGGGCGCUAAUACCGCAUACGUCCUGAGGGAGAAAGUGGGGGAUCUUCGGACCUCACGCUAUCAGAUGAGCCUAGGUCGGAUUAGCUAGUUGGUGGGGUAAAGACCUACCAAGGCGACGAUCCGUAACUGGUCUGAGAGGAUGAUCAGUCACACUGGAACUGAGACACGGUCCAGACUCCUACGGGAGGCAGCAGUGGGGAAUAUUGGACAAUGGGCGAAAGCCUGAUCCAGCCAUGCCGCGUGUGUGAAGAAGGUCUUCGGAUUGUAAAGCACUUUAAGUUGGGAGGAAGGGCAGUAAGUUAAUACCUUGCUGUUUUGACGUUACCAACAGAAUAAGCACCGGCUAACUUCGUG
This 484-nucleotide ribosomal RNA is filed under the name uncultured bacterium. Its description in RNAcentral is "partial 16S ribosomal RNA". It matches the Rfam family "Bacterial small subunit ribosomal RNA", at positions 30 to 507 of the family's 1533-position model. The record is from RNAcentral.